Molecule: ribosomal RNA, 422 nt
Filed under: uncultured bacterium
Lineage: Bacteria
Description: partial 16S ribosomal RNA
Rfam family: Bacterial small subunit ribosomal RNA
Source: RNAcentral
AAUUUUGGACAAUGGGGGAAACCCUGAUCCAGCCAUCCCGCGUGUAUGAUGAAGGCCUCCGGGUGGUAAAGUACUUUUGGCAGAGAAGAAAAGGUAUCUCCUAAUACGAGAUACUGCUGACGGUAUCUGCAGAAUAAGCACCGGCGAACUACGUGACAGCAGCCGCGGUCAUACGUAAGGUGCAAGAGAUAAUCGGAAUUACUGGGCGUAAAGCGUGUGUAGGCGGUUCGGAAAGAAAGGUGUGAAAUCCCAGAGCUCAACCUUGGACCUGCAUUUUUAACUGCCGAGCUAGAGUAUGUCAGAGGGGGGUAGAAUUCCACGUGUAGCAGUGAAAUGCGUAGAUAUGUGGAGGAAUACUGAUGGCGAAGGCAGCCCCCUGGGAUAAUACUGACGCUCAGACACGAAAGCGUGGGGAGCAAACA